GACGAACCGUGCGAACGUUGUUCGGAAUCACUGGGCUUAAAGGGCGCGUAGGCGGGCCAGCAAGUCCUGGGUGAAAUCCCCCGGCCCAACCGGGGAACUGCCUGGGAUACUGCGGGUCUGGAGUGGGGUAGGGGCGUGCGGAACUUCCGGUGGAGCGGUGAAAUGCGUUGAUAUCGGAAGGAACUCCGGUGGCGAAGGCGGCGCGCUGGACCCCGACUGACGCUGAGGCGCGAAAGCCAGGGGAGCGAACGGG
Molecule: ribosomal RNA, 253 nt
Filed under: uncultured bacterium
Lineage: Bacteria
Description: partial 16S ribosomal RNA
Rfam family: Bacterial small subunit ribosomal RNA
Source: RNAcentral